This 389-nucleotide ribosomal RNA is filed under the name uncultured bacterium. RNAcentral's name for it is "bacterial SSU rRNA". It matches the Rfam family "Bacterial small subunit ribosomal RNA", at positions 29 to 417 of the family's 1533-position model. The record is from RNAcentral.
AUUGAACGCUGGCGGCAUGCCUUACACAUGCAAGUCGAGCGGCAGCGCGGGGGCAACCCUCGGCGGCGAGCGGCGAACGGGUGAGUAAUGCAUCGGAACGUGUCCUCUUGUGGGGGAUAACCAGUCGAAAGACUGGCUAAUACCGCAUGAGCUCGAGAGAUGAAAGCAGGGGACCCGCAAGGGCCUUGCGCGAGAGGAGCGGCCGAUGCCCGAUUAGCUAGUUGGUGGGGUAAUAGCCCACCAAGGCGACGAUCGGUAGCUGGUCUGAGAGGACGACCAGCCACACUGGGACUGAGACACGGCCCAGACUCCUACGGGAGGCAGCAGUGGGGAAUUUUGGACAAUGGGGCAACCCUGAUCCAGCCAUGCCGCGUGUGUGAAGAAGGCCU